RNAcentral lists this long non-coding RNA (326 nucleotides) under Elaeis guineensis (African oil palm). Its description in RNAcentral is "long non-coding RNA (EGUI_LNC031039)". The record is from RNAcentral. Lineage: Eukaryota; Viridiplantae; Streptophyta; Magnoliopsida; Arecales; Arecaceae.
AUAUCAAACAUCUUCCAUAUAUAAAGAUCCUGAAUCUUAAAAGCUCAUUCCUAUAAUUGCACCAAAUGAAUUUAGCGCCUGAGAAACCUAAAUCAAUCAAAUAUCUAGUAGUAAGGAACUCCCUCAACUCCCUAAUCUCUCAUGUCUCAUGAAAAGAAAUGCCAACCCUCUUCUCGUUAGUAGAGAUGAUAUAGAUGAAGUCUCGUGCGCAUAGGAUAGUUAAAUCUAGAAUUCGUUGAAGUUUCCCCCAUAAGUAGUGCCUCUUAAGCCCAUUUGUACUCCCAUACACUACUGCAAGAAUCCAAUAAGCUCUAUCUAACUGGGAA